UGCUGAAAGCAUCUAAGCACGAAACUUGCCCCGAGAUGAGUUCUCCCUGACUCCUUGAGAGUCCUGAAGGAACGUUGAAGACGACGACGUUGAUAGGCCGGGUGUGUAAGCGCAGCGAUGCGUUGAGCUAACCGGUACUAAUGAACCGUGAGGCUUAACCUUACAACGCCGAAGCUGUU
This 179-nucleotide ribosomal RNA is filed under the name Escherichia coli. RNAcentral describes it as "partial 23S ribosomal RNA". It matches the Rfam family "Bacterial large subunit ribosomal RNA", at positions 2769 to 2925 of the family's 2925-position model. The record is from RNAcentral. Lineage: Bacteria; Pseudomonadati; Pseudomonadota; Gammaproteobacteria; Enterobacterales; Enterobacteriaceae.